GCAUAUCAAUAAGCGGAGGAAAAGAAACCAACAGGGAUUGCCCUAGUAACGGCGAAGUGAAGCGGCAACAGCUCAAAUUUGAAAUCUGGCUUCGGCCCGAGUUGUAAUUUGCAGAGGAAGCUUUAGGCGCGGCACCUUCUGAGUCCCCUGGAACGGGGCGCCAUAGAGGGUGAGAGCCCCGUAUAGUUGGAUGCCUAGCCUGUGUAAAGCUCCUUCGACGAGUCGAGUAGUUUGGGAAUGCUGCUCAAAAUGGGAGGUAAAUUUCUUCUAAAGCUAAAUACCGGCCAGAGACCGAUAGCGCACAAGUAGAGUGAUCGAAAGAUGAAAAGCACUUUGAAAAGAGGGUUAAACAGCACGUGAAAUUGUUGAAAGGGAAGCGCUUGUGACCAGACUUGCGCCAGGCUGAUCAUCCGGUGUUCUCACCGGUGCACUCGGCCCGGCACAGGCCAGCAUCGGUUCUCGCGGGGGGAUAAAGGUCUCGGGAACGUAGCUCCUCCGGGAGUGUUAUAGCCCGGGGCGUAAUGCCCUCGCGGGGACCGAGGUUCGCGCAUCUGCAAGGAUGCUGGCGUAAUGGUCAUCAGCGACCCGUCUUGAAACACGGACCAAGGAGUCAAGGUUUUGCGCGAGUGUUUGGGUGUCAAACCCGCACGCGUAAUGAAAGUGAACGUAGGUGAGAGCUUCGGCGCAUCAUCGACCGAUCCUGAUGUUUUCGGAUGGAUUUGAGUAGGAGCGUUAAGCCUUGGACCCGAAAGAUGGUGAACUAUGCUUGGAUAGGGUGAAGCCAGAGGAAACUCUGGUGGAGGCUCGCAGCGGUUCUGACGUGCAAAUCGAUCGUCAAAUCUGAGCAUGGGGGCGAAAGACUAAUCGAACCAUCUAGUAGCUGGUUACCG
RNAcentral lists this ribosomal RNA (890 nucleotides) under Dichotomopilus indicus. RNAcentral describes it as "LSU rRNA". It matches the Rfam family "Eukaryotic large subunit ribosomal RNA", at positions 38 to 960 of the family's 3401-position model. The record is from RNAcentral. Lineage: Eukaryota; Fungi; Ascomycota; Sordariomycetes; Sordariales; Chaetomiaceae.